This 756-nucleotide ribosomal RNA is filed under the name uncultured Enterobacteriaceae bacterium. RNAcentral describes it as "bacterial SSU rRNA". It matches the Rfam family "Bacterial small subunit ribosomal RNA", at positions 745 to 1502 of the family's 1533-position model. The record is from RNAcentral. Lineage: Bacteria; Pseudomonadati; Pseudomonadota; Gammaproteobacteria; Enterobacterales; Enterobacteriaceae.
GCUGAGAUGCGAAAGCGUGGGGAGCAACAGGAUUAGAUACCCUGGUAGUCCACGCUGUAAACGAUGUCGAUUUGGAGUUUGUUGCCUAGAGUGAUGGGCUCCGAAGCUAACGCGAUAAAUCGACCGCCUGGGGAGUACGGCCGCAAGGUUAAAACUCAAAUGAAUUGACGGGGGCCCGCACAAGCGGUGGAGCAUGUGGUUUAAUUCGAUGCAACGCGAAGAACCUUACCUGGUCUUGACAUCCAUAGAAUUCUGCAGAGAUGUGGGAGUGCCUUCGGGAACUAUGAGACAGGUGCUGCAUGGCUGUCGUCAGCUCGUGUUGUGAAAUGUUGGGUUAAGUCCCGCAACGAGCGCAACCCUUAUUCUUUGUCGCCAGCGAUUUGGUCGGGAACUCAAAGGAGACUGCCGUUGAUAAAGCGGAGGAAGGUGGGGACGACGUCAAGUCAUCAUGGCCCUUACGACCAGGGCUACACACGUGCUACAAUGGCGUAUACAAAGGGAAGCGAAGGUGCGGGCUGGAGCGGAUCUCAUAAAGUACGUCUAAGUUCGGAUUGGAGUCUGCAACUCGAAUCCAUGAAGUCGGAAUCGCUAGUAAUCGUAGAUCAGAAUGCUACGGUGAAUACGUUCCCGGGCCUUGUACACACCGCCCGUCACACCAUGGGAGUGGGUUGCACCAGAAGUAGAUAGCUUAACCGCGAGGGGGGCGCUUACCACGGUGUGAUUCAUGACUGGGGUGAAGUCGUAACAAGGUAACCA